Raphanus sativus (radish) is the source of this 894-nucleotide long non-coding RNA. RefSeq lists it as uncharacterized. NCBI's taxonomy places the organism in Eukaryota, Viridiplantae, Streptophyta, Magnoliopsida, Brassicales, Brassicaceae. The record is from RefSeq and is a predicted model, not a curated record. The transcript is spliced from 2 exons.
AUAAGAAGACAAUCUGUAUUGUUUUUUUUGAACCAUUGAUUGAUUUGAAUCAAAGGCCCAAAAUCACUUUUGUAUCUAUCUUCACCCUUUUUUCCUAUUGGUUAAAAAAAGUUGUGUAUGGAUUGAUAAUCUUAACCAUAGAUUAGAUAUUUUGAAAGGUUCAGAUUAAAUCCUUUUGUGUUUGUUUCUCUCUCCCUCUCUCACGCUUCUUCACUUUCUUCUUCUCUGUCUCUCUCUCUCCCCCUUCUCUCUGAAACAAAGAACAAUGAGAUUCAAACCUCGUCUUCAUCUCCACCACAGUUCGUCGUUACAACCACAAUUCCUAAUCUCACAGAUCUUGUCUCUCUAAUCUCUAUCUUCAUCACCACUAAGCUUUGUCACCACCAAACCUCGUCUUCGUCUCUACCACAGUUCAUCUUCGUUACAACCACAGCUCUGCGUGUGUGUUUUAUUUAUCUGGGACAAAGUUCUUAUCUUGUACCGUUAAAUAAAGUGGAGGAGGCUGAAGAAGCUUGAUGGUGGUGGUCUCGCCACCGACUCCAUAUCAGAAGAAGCAUGGCUCGAGACGAGAAGACAAAGGGCUGGUGAUUCAAGAACAGAACAUAACUCGUGCUCUGUUUUUUCUGUGGUGAUGCGACGACUAAGUGAUGCGACGACCGCACUCUGGAGGCUGGAGGCUGGAUGCUGGAGGCUGGAGGCGGAGGAAUUAGGGUUGUAGGCAGAGGCUUAGAUUUUUUUUUGUCGACAGGCAGAGGCUUAGAUUAGGUUUAGGUUAAUUACGUUUUGGUUAAUUCUGUUUUGGUUUAAUGGUUUAAUUUGUUUUUGGUUUAAUGUGUUUUAGUUACUUGUAUACUGAUUUUAAUUGAUAAAUAAAAUUUAAUUCUUAAUUAUGAA